Molecule: ribosomal RNA, 253 nt
Filed under: uncultured Prevotella sp.
Lineage: Bacteria; Pseudomonadati; Bacteroidota; Bacteroidia; Bacteroidales; Prevotellaceae
Description: partial 16S ribosomal RNA
Rfam family: Bacterial small subunit ribosomal RNA
Source: RNAcentral
UACGGAAGGUCCGGGCGUUAUCCGGAUUUAUUGGGUUUAAAGGGAGCGUAGGCCGGUCUUUAAGCGUGCCGUGAAAUUUUGUGGCUCAACCGUGGAAUUGCAGUUGAAACUGGAGGCCUUGAGUGCACACAGGGAUGCCGGAAUUCAUGGUGUAGCGGUGAAAUGCUUAGAUAUCAUGAAGAACUCCGAUCGCGAAGGCAAGUGUCCGGGGUGCAACUGACGCUGAGGCUCGAAAGUGCGGGUAUCGAACAGG